Molecule: ribosomal RNA, 472 nt
Filed under: uncultured bacterium
Lineage: Bacteria
Description: partial 16S ribosomal RNA
Rfam family: Bacterial small subunit ribosomal RNA
Source: RNAcentral
GACGAACGCUGGCGGCGUGCUUAACACAUGCAAGUCGAACGCUGAAGCUUGGUGCUUGCACUGGGUGGAUGAGUGGCGAACGGGUGAGUAAUACGUGAGUAACCUGCCCUUGACUCUGGGAUAAGCCUGGGAAACUGGGUCUAAUACUGGAUACGACAUGCCACUGCAUGGUGGUGUGUGGAAAGGGUUUUACUGGUUUUGGAUGGGCUCACGGCCUAUCAGCUUGUUGGUGGGGUAAUGGCCUACCAAGGCGACGACGGGUAGCCGGCCUGAGAGGGCGACCGGCCACACUGGGACUGAGACACGGCCCAGACUCCUACGGGAGGCAGCAGUGGGGAAUAUUGCACAAUGGGCGGAAGCCUGAUGCAGCGACGCCGCGUGAGGGAUGACGGCCUUCGGGUUGUAAACCUCUUUCAGCACGGAAGAAGCGAGAGUGACGGUACGUGCAGAAGAAGCGCCGGCUAACUACGUG